Molecule: ribosomal RNA, 407 nt
Filed under: uncultured bacterium
Lineage: Bacteria
Description: partial 16S ribosomal RNA
Rfam family: Bacterial small subunit ribosomal RNA
Source: RNAcentral
AUUGAACGCUGGCGGCAGGCCUAACACAUGCAAGUCGAACGGAGCGGCGGACGGGGGAGUACUGCCUAGGAAUCUGCCUGGUAGUGGGGGAUAACGUCCAGAGACGGGCGCUAAUACCGCAUACUAUCAGAUGAGCCUAGGUCGGAUUAGCUAGGUGGUGGGGUAAAGGCCUACCAAGGCGACGAUCCGUAGCUGGUCUGAGAGGAUGAUCAGUCACACUGGAACUGAUACACGGUCCAGACUCCUACGGGAGGCAGCAGUGGGGAAUAUUGGACAAUGGGCGAAAGCCUGAUCCAGCAAUGCCGCGGGUGGGAAGAAGGUCUUCGGAUUGUAAAGCACUUUAAGUUGGGAGGCGUUACCAACAGAAUAAGCACCGGCUAACUUCGUGCCAGCAGCCGCGGUAAUUC